This 5094-nucleotide long non-coding RNA is filed under the name Lupinus angustifolius (narrow-leaved blue lupine). Its description in RNAcentral is "long non-coding RNA (LANG_LNC000658)". Lineage: Eukaryota; Viridiplantae; Streptophyta; Magnoliopsida; Fabales; Fabaceae. The record is from RNAcentral.
UGAUAUUUUUCCUAAUCAUAUAUUUUUAUAUUUCAGGGUGCCCUUUUGGUGAAUAUAGCUAGAGGUGGUCUAAUUGAUUAUAAGGCAGUGUUCAACCACCUUGAAUCAGGCCAUCUAGGAGGGUUAGGCACUGAUGUUGCAUGGACUGAGCCAUUUGAUCCUAAUGAUCAAAUAUUGAAAUUUAAGAAUGUUAUCAUGACUCCUCAUGUUGCAGGUGUUACAGAAUAUUCUUAUAGGACCAUGGCUAAGGUACAUUUUGCUAUAAAUAUCUAUACUUUUUUCCUCUAUAAAUGUUAAGAUAAAGAGAGAUCAAAGGAACUUAGUCUGAUAUUUUUCUUGGUUGUUGUUAUAUUGCAGGCUGUUGGUGAUGUUGUUCUUCAACUUCAUAAUAGGCUUCCUUUGACAGGGAUAGAGUUGGUCAAUUGAACUAGUGUAAGGGCAUCAGUACCAUUUCUAAAUAAUCCAAAUCAUUUAUUUAUUAAUUAUCAUUGACUGUUAAAUGAAUCCUUUAUCGACGAAGUACUGGUCAAUUCUACUAUACCAUGCUCGAGGAGCUUGCUUCAAGCCAUAUAGAGCCUUCUUCAAUCGUAGCACUUUGUUUUCGUUGCCCUUGCUCAUGAACCCUUCUGGCUGCUCCACAUAGAUCUCUUCUUGAAGUACUCCAUUGAGGAAUGCAGACUUGACAUCUAGCUGGUAAAUGCUCCAUCCUCUUUUUGCUGCAAGAGCUAUUAGAGCUCUUAUAGUAUCUAGACGAGCAACUGGAGCAAAUGUCUCAUUAUAGUCGAUUCCUGGUUGUUGGGAGUAGCCCUUGGCUACUAAUCUCGCCUUGUGCUUCUGUAUAGUGCCAUCAGGAUUGAGCUUUGUUUUAUACACCCAUUUUACUCCGAUGAUGUCUUUAUCUUUUGGACAAUCUACUAGCUCCCACGUGUUGUUUUUCUCGAUCAUCUUUAUCUCUUCUUCCAUUGCCUUGACCCAUACUUCUUGCCUUGAUGCUUCUUCAAAGCUUCCAGGUUCAACUAUGGCCAAGUUGCAUGUCUCAUAUAUAUCUACUAAGGAUCUUACUCGUCUCGGAGAAGAUUCUGGUGAAGAUUGUUCAUGUGGGAGUGUAGUUGGCGUACCUGGAUCUUCUGUUGCUUCUUCUACUUCCCCAGUUACUUGUGGUUGUUGUGUUGGUAUGGAGAUGUUGUGUCUCUCAAUCUUGCCUUCAUUCCAGUUCCAAGCGUCACUUUCAUCAACUUCAACAUCUCGACUGAUGAUAAGUUUCUUCGUUUCUAGAUUGUAUAUGCGAUAGCCUUUUGACUGUGUGCUAUAUCCCAAGAAGAUGCCUCUUAUCGUCUUGUCUUCUAGUUUGUGUCUCUUUUCUUUUGGGACAUGUAUAUAACAGAUAGAUCCAAAAACUCUUAGAUGUUUAGCUGAUGGCUUCCUACCGCUCCAAGCUUCUAUAGGAGUUUUACCUUCGACUGCCUUUGUUGGACAUCUAUUCAUUAUGUAGACAGCUGUGUAAACUGCUUCGGCCCAAAAGGUGUUUGGCAAACCUUUCUCCUUGAGCAUCGAUCUAGCCAUCUCCAUGACCGUGCGAUUUUUCCUUUCAGACACCCCAUUUUGUUGUGGAGUGUAAGCAACUGUGAGUUGACGCUCUAUGCCUUCAUCCUCACAAAAUUUAUCAAAUUCGUGAGAGUUGUACUCUUUGCCACGAUCGCUUCUGAGUACUUUUAUAUGUUUCCCGCUUUGCUUCUCGACAAAGGCCUUGAACUUCUUGAAUAUUCCAAAGACUUCUGAUUUUUCUUUUAUAAAAUAGACCCAUGUCAUUCUAGAAAAGUCAUCAAUGAAGAGGAUGAAAUACCUGUUAUUAGUGAGGGAUGGCGUCCUCAUUGGUCCACAUACGUCAGUAUGGAUGAGCUCCAACAAGCGUUUUGCUCUCCAAGAUUUCCCACUUGAAAAAGGUAGUCUAUGUUGCUUCCCAAGUAGACAUCCUUCACAAGCUCCUUCAUUCUCUUGGAUGCAUGGAAGAUCCUUCAUCAUUCUUUUAUGAUAUAAUAGCUUUAAGGCUUGGUUAUUAAGAUGACCAAAUCUUCGAUGCCAUAGCCAUGAUUCAUCAACUUGAACCUUCAUAGCGAUGUUAGUAGCAUAUUUCCAAGUUAUUGGAAAACUUCUAUUUCUUUUCUCCAUUUUAACUUGGGCUAUUUCAAACUUUCUAUUAUUGUCAUAUAUAUUGCAUGUAUCUCCCUCAAAGUGGAGAGAGUAACCUUUUUCCAUCAUUUGGCCAAUACUCAAGAGAUUUUCUUUAAGGUUAGGAACUAGUAAGACAUCUUUGAUAAGUCGCGUACCUGAUUGUGUCUCCACCAUGACAGUGCCUUUGCCUUUAGACUCAACCAUGGUGCCAUUACCUAAUCGAACUUGCACUCUGACAGACUCAUCAAUAUCUUUGAAAAUGCUCCCGUCCUUAGCCAUGUGGUUACUACAACCACUAUCCAAGUACCAGUUUUCUUCUUUAUCACGACUACAGACUUGGUUGGCAUAGAAUAGUUGUUGGUCAUGUUUGCAUUCUUCAGUGAAAUUGGCCUGAUGAUUAUUUUUGUUGCGACAAUUUUGCUCUGAGUGCCCAAAUCUUUUGCAAUAUUGGCAUUGUAUCUUUCCUCGAUAUCGACAAUAUUUUUCUGAAUGGCCUGACUUCUGGCAUAUGCCGCAAGGAAGAUAUUUUGCUUGAUUGUUUCUAGAGAAAUCUUUAGAAAUCUCUUUGUUUCUAGAAUGUUCCGCACCAAUAUUAUUUCUUCUUUGAUAUUCUUUAUUCUGAGACCUUAGUCUGAGCUUUGAUUGAAAGGCAUUUUCUAGUGAACCUUCAUCAUGCCUACUCAAUCUUUGCUCAUAAGCUUCUAGAGAGCCCAUUAGUUCUGUUACUGAUAGAGUAGACAAAUCUUUGGUUUGCUCAAUCGUAGUAACUAUUGAGUCAUAUUUUUGGGGAAUUGAAAUCAGAAUUUUCUCAACAAUUCUUUUGUCAAGAAUAUUUUCCCCAUAGGCUUUCAUUUGAUUGACUAUUUCUUUUAUUUUAGAAUAAUAGUCUUUUAUGGUCUCAGACUCUUUCAUCUUAAGUAAUUCAAACUCACGCCUAAGAGUUUGAAGUUUAAUGGUGCGUACCUUAUCACUGCCAUGAAACUCCUCCUUUAGUGUAUCCCAUGCUUCUUUGGCACUUGUAGCUCCCAUUAUUCUUGGAAAGAUAGUUUCCGCCAAGGCUUGUUGUAGAAUAAAUAACGCUUUUGCAUCCUUUUGCACAUUCUCUUUCAACUCCUUUUUCUGAGCCACGGUAAGAGUUGAAGUAUUCUCUGGAGUAGUGAAUCCUUCUUCUACAAUAUCCCACAAAUCUUGGGACCGGAAGAAAGUAGUCAUUUUUGUAUUCCAAAAAUCAUAGUUUUCUCCAGUGAAAAUUGGGAUAGGAAUUGAUGAUGAUUGAAUAGUGCUAGCCAUAGCUCAAAGUGUAUAAAUAUGGUUUAGUUUGGAUGUGAGAUUCUUGGAGAUAGUUGGAAAUGGAUAGAGUAAUAUUCUACGCCCAGUGUAUGACCAAACGUAGCUCUGAUGCCACUGAUAGUAUUUUAGAAAUGGAAGUUAUAGUAGUGAAAAUAGAAGUGGAGAAGCUUUGGAGCUACACAACUUAGAAUAAUUUGCUUCUUAUUUGGAUGCUUUACAAAUGAAGGGUGAGUGCCUAUUUAUAGGCUUUCUACAACACUUAUGAAUUUCUAGAUGGUUCCAUAAGUAUCUAGUAUACAUUUUUCUCAAGAUUUCUAGAUACUUCUUUAAUUAUAAUACUAAAUGCCUAUAAUAGAAUAUACUAGAAGCUUAGGAUAAUUCUAGAUAUUAUGGUACAAUCAUCACUACUUAUUUCUACACAAGUGUGGAAGCUUCUAGAAAGUGUGCAUCAAUAUUUUAUCACUAUGCUUGAAGGAAAUGAACUCACAAGGCCCCAGUCCCAUUGCUAGAAGCAACAAUUUUUCCACUGCAACAUGGAGCUUCUUCUCAGUAAUCCUGCACUCUACUGGUAUAUUCCUGUUCAAGUGCGGAAACUCCACCGUGGUGGUUCUAGUGAGUAGGAUGGCUUGUGUUUGUCCCACUAGCGUCUUUUUUCUUCAGUAAAAUGAGUCGGGCCCAUUAGACCAGAAUGAGAUUCAUGUCUAUUUUAUGAUUGAGGGUCAUUGUUCAGCUCUAAACAUGCUCCAAUCUUCUCCUUUCAGAAGCACCUUUUAUUCACAUCACCCUUUUUUUCAUUUCUCACUACACACUUCCAGAAACAUGAGUCUGGAAGUAUAUUUGGGAAAUAUAAUAGUGGUAAAAGAAACCACCAUAACUCUCAUUUUUAAAACCAAUUCCAUAACGUCAGAAAAGGGUCUCAACUAGUGUAAUCUUGUUUUGCCUUUCUUCUUUCAGCCCUUCCUGAGAGUUCUUUGGUGGAAUACAGAAACCAACUCUGGCAUUUAUCCAUCUUUAUGAAUACCAGUGCCUGGUUGUGAAUGUAGUGGCAUUCUUGAUUACACCUACCAUUCCUAGUUGCUGCCUCUCUCCUCUCCGUCAACAUCAUAUAAUCUCCUCCGUCCACCUUCGCCCUAUAGCUUCCGUUCCAUUAUCCAUGCACAUUAUUACCAUCUACAGGCUCCCUAGGUAUGUAAUAAUAUUAACUACAAAAUAUGGUAGUAAAGUUCAGUAGCAGUGAUCCAAUCACAAAUAAAAUGGAAGAAAAGUCUAGACACAGAUGUAGGUAGAAAAGGAAAAUCAGAGUUGCAAGUUUAGUCUCUGCCCUAUGGCCAAGUUCAAUAUGUUGUGGUUUAUAUUGAUUGCUUCUAAGUUAUAACUUUUGAUGAUAUUUUUCCUAAUCAUAUAUUUUUAUAUUUCAGGGUGCCCUUUUGGUGAAUAUAGCUAGAGGUGGUCUAAUUGAUUAUAAGGCAGUGUUCAACCACCUUGAAUCAGGCCAUCUAGGAGGGUUAGGCACUGAUGUUGCAUGGACUGAGCCAUUUGAUCCUAAUGAUCAAAUUUUGAAAUUUAAGAAUGUUAUCAUGACUCCUCAUGUUGCAGGUGUUACAGAAUAUUCUUAUAGGACCAUGGCUAAGG